This is a long non-coding RNA of Trematomus bernacchii (emerald rockcod), 309 nucleotides long. RefSeq lists it as uncharacterized. The record is from RefSeq and is a predicted model, not a curated record. The transcript has 3 exons. NCBI's taxonomy places the organism in Eukaryota, Metazoa, Chordata, Actinopteri, Perciformes, Nototheniidae.
GUCAAAGUCAGACGAAGGCUUCUACAUGUGUCGAUACGCAGAAAAAAAGUCAGCACAGAGUUGGUUGUCAGUAAAAUCAGCAUCCAGUCCUGGAAAAAUGAACAGAUCAUCUAUUCUGCUACUGAUCAUUGGGUUGGUUUGUGGGAUUGUUGUGUUCAUUCUCCUGCUGCUAUUCUGUUGCUGCAUGAAGUCCAAAGAUUCAAGCUUUGCAAGGUCGGUACAAGUCUUUUGAACUUGAAAGCAGUACUAAUUUAAAAUGUCUUCUAUAUUUUAUACCAUGUGUUAUUUCUAUUUUUUUUUUUACUUUAU